This 310-nucleotide ribosomal RNA is filed under the name bacterium enrichment culture clone ALO1_GLFRUDD03GENHU. RNAcentral describes it as "bacterial SSU rRNA". It matches the Rfam family "Bacterial small subunit ribosomal RNA", at positions 9 to 318 of the family's 1533-position model. The record is from RNAcentral.
GAGUUUGAUCCUGGCUCAGAUUGAACGCUGGCGGCAUGCCUUACACAUGCAAGUCGAACGGCAGCACGGGAGCUUGCUCCUGGUGGGCGAGUGGCGAACGGGUGAGUAAUGCAUCGGAACGUAUCCUGGAGUGGGGGAUAACGUAGCGAAAGUUACGCUAAUACCGCAUAUUCUGUGAGCAGGAAAGCGGGGGACCUUCGGGCCUCGCGCUCUUGGAGCGGCCGAUGUCGGAUUAGCUAGUUGGUGAGGUAAAGGCUCACCAAGGCGACGAUCCGUAGCAGGUCUGAGAGGAUGAUCUGCCACACUGGAA